AGGCCCACAAAGCCCAUCCUUUGACAAAGAGGAUGUGUCAAUUUCGUAAAUUUCUCAUCCCUAAACCUAGGCCGUCCUGCUUCCCCUUCCCACUCAAGAGACGAUUGCAAAACGUCUCCCGUUAUGGCAUCGACUCCUCUACAUCCACUACUUGAUCUUCAUUGCUUCUUAACUUUUUCUUCACUGCCGAGCUUGAAAUCUAUCUAUAUAGACUGGCAUGAGAAUCUGCAGAGAAAAUCAUUUGCUCCUUCAUCAAUCAUAGAACACUCAGUCUCUUUCAGCCAUCUCCGACUAUGGAAAAUCAUCAACUUCAGUUCGCUGAGUGUAAGGCUGAUCGCUAGAUGAAUGUCGUUAAACUUUUGGCAAAAGGAAAAUCACAUAUCUCACUGAGAAAGAGAUAAGUGACAGUCAAAUGGCUACUUGGUUUAGCUACAGUUGAUCCAAAUGUAAAAGGUGGUUUAAGGUGGCCGUUUGGUAAACCUAACUCUGAGGCUUAGGGUGAGAGAGACUGAUAGAUUCAAUGAGAGGAUUGGAACGGGGCAAGUCAAUAGGGAGGUGAUUCUGAUGCUCAAAGACAUGAAACAGCAGCAGAACAUUGAUAGGGGUUGUGUUUUGGAAAUGCUCAGAGAUGUUCUUAGAACCUUGUGGGAUUUCUUGCAUUGUGAAGCCUAUCUUACAUGAUCAUUUGUAACGUGUAUGGGACUGCUGAUCCCAUUGUUUCGAGCCGGUUCAGGUGUUUCUUCCUUCCUUUCCAUAUCUAUUACUUGAUUACUAAUACGUUUCUGGAUAGUCAUGUCUGUUGUUUAACCAAAGACUGAGACUACAGCCACUAAUGCGUAUGGUGUGGAAAAAGAUGUUGGAGCCAUUUUCUUUUCUCUGAGUUAAAAGUUUUUAAUAAAUUUCUGUUGUAUUUGGCUCUUUAAAUCUUCGUGUUAGUUUCCAAACAUGAAAGCAUCAAUUUGUAAUUUUAUACAUAGGUAAGUUCAGUUUGACAGAAAAUCAUCAAACUUAUUUGC
Raphanus sativus (radish) is the source of this 1016-nucleotide long non-coding RNA. RefSeq lists it as uncharacterized. The record is from RefSeq and is a predicted model, not a curated record. Lineage: Eukaryota; Viridiplantae; Streptophyta; Magnoliopsida; Brassicales; Brassicaceae. The transcript has 4 exons.